GGCCUGUAAUUUUCAUCAUAGGUAUACCUCAACUAUAAGAGACAAAAUGAGAAGGAAAAAAAAUCCAGAAAAUCACAUUGUAGGAGUUUUAAAGAAUUUAUUUGCAAAUUAUGGUGGAAAAUAAGUAUUUGGUCAAUAACAAAAUUUCAUCUCAAUACUUUGUUAUAUACCCUUUGUUGGCAAUGACAGAGGUCAAACGUUUUCUGUAAAUCUUCACAAGGUUUUCACACACUGUUGCUGGUAUUUUGGCCCAUUCCUCCAUGCAGAUCUCCUCUAGAGCAGUAAUGUUUUGGGGCUGUCGCUGGGCAACACAGACUUUCAACUUUUCGAUGGGGUUGAGAUCUGGAGACUGGCUAGGCCACUCCAGGACCUUGAAAUGCUUCUUAAGAAGCCACUCCUUCGUUGCCCGGGUGGUGUGUUUGGGAUCAUUGUCAUGCUGAAAGACCCAGCCACGUUUCAUCUUCAAUGCCCUUGCUGACGGAAGGAGGUCUUCACUCAAAAUCUCACGAUACAUGGCCCCAUUCAUUCUAAUAAAUAAAUAAUAUUUUAUUGUAUUUCUAAUUCGUGAUUCGUUUGUUUUGCUCUCUGCUCUUCCGCUUUUGUCACUUCUCAUCGGUGCAUGCACUACACCGAUGUCCUGCGUCAUCCGCCCAGAAAGGCUUCCACGUACAACAUUUAGCGCAAGCUAGAGAAAAGUGUUUAUAACGUUUUAAAUUUGGAUAUUUUUCUUACAAGAACACAUUGAUUCGCUACAGGAAGCCUUUAUUCACCACCCAGAGACGUGUGAGGCAUGUUUUAUUAUGGAUGGAUGCACUUUAUUGCACUUGUUUUGGACUGUUGAACAGAAACACCCACCCACUGCCAUUAUAAAGUUUGGAUUAGCCAGGAAAUGUUUUAAUAUCAUUCCGAUUGGAUUCGUCUGAAAGAAGAAAGUCAUAUACACCUAUAGGUUGCCUUGCAGGGGCAGUUUUGUGAUGCUGUAAAUAGGAGUGGAUAUCUUGCUUGGCUGAAAACUGCAGAGAAACACAUCUCAUCGUGCUGAAAAAAAGAAUGAGAGUAUUCUCUCCAAGGAGGUCCAAACACCAGCACAGACUUUGAUUAGUGAGCAUUAACAUGCAUUCAGAUUUUAUGGUAAUGAAUGGAAUGCUGUUGUUUAACCUCCUAAAUGUCAGCAUUAUAAACCUUAUGACAUUAAUGGACCAAAUAAGAAUGUUUUUUGCGUCUUUGCACUGAUUUGCUUCUACAUUAUGAUGUUUAAUUGUUGUAAGAACAUGUUCUUUACAUGUAUUGAAAACAUUGAGUGUGAAGACAUUUUGGUGUAGGGAAAAAAUAUUUACAAUGUUUCAAUAAAAUAAAUAAAUGUAAACGUGUAUUGUUUUGUGGGUUUAUUUAAUAUUUUCACCUGAACACUGGUGCAGUGUUGACCAGUUAAUCCAUAAGUGUUAACUUUCAACACCAACUUUGGUGUUCUCAUCAUCCAUUCUGGUUUUGAUAUUUUACAUCAAUUACUUUAGAGUUUGUUAGUUAACACUGUCAGAGUGUUAAAAAUGUUAACUCUUUCAAAAGUGUUAAUUUAACACUUUAGCAGUGAUUCCCAUAUGUACGUGUUAAUUUUAACUCUGAGGGAGUUAAAUCCACUCUUUUAAAUUUGCUGAUGAAAAUUACAGGCCUCUCUCAUCUUUUUAAGUGGGAGAACUUGCACAAUUGGUGGCUGACUAAAUACUUUUUUGCCCCACUGUGUAUAUAUAUAUAUAUAUAUAUAUAUAUAUAUGCAACAUUUAUGCAUGCAAGAUAAUAUAUAUUUUUAUUGAGUGCUAAACGAACAAAUGCCUUAGAAAAAAAAAUCUGUUUUCCACAUGACUAAACCCCAUUAUUGCUCACCCCUAUUGCUCAUUUCUAUUAUUAAUUUUUACCACCAAGAACAAGCUAUGGAGCAAUAUUCACAGCAUGAAUGGAAUUAAUAAUCUUUCAAAAUAUUUAGGGAAGCAAGUUGAGGUUUUGUUUUAGUUGUGUGUCUUGUGCAGCCUUCGGAGGCCAUAUCAUAUCAUCUCAACUCAACUCAACUCCCACACACAGGAAAACAGCAAACAAUACAAGAACAAGCUGACAUGUCAGUGGGUGAAAUGAGAUGCAGUUAACCACAUCCCUGGGGCCUUCACACAUGCUAGUUAGAUGUAGAUUUUAGUGAGAAAAACGCACCACACCACAGCACAAAAAAUGAAACAUGUUUUGCAUUACAGAAGCAUGCUUUGCAUUUGCAUGAUUCUGUGCAAUUGAGAGUAUUGUCAAAGCGAAAGAACACAUUCACACCUAUUGUCUCUUUUAUAGUCUAAAAUAUGUUCUGAGAAGACCUUAAUGGGGAAGUAAUGCAAAAGAAUGAACUGAAAACUUUGAACUGAAAAAUAUUUUAAACGAUUGAUAGGUGCACAAACAUUCAAAUAGGCCUAUAGAAAUGUCUUUAUUUUUCACUUUUAUGGUCUCUUAAAACACAGACAAAAGGAAUAAUUACUCUAUAAAAUACUGUUUCAUUCAGUUCAUAGACACUUUUGUUUUCUACUUAAAGGUGCACUAAGUUAAUUGUACCUCUAAAAAGUGACAACCUAAAUAUAUUUACAUCAAUGUGUAGUAAAAAAGUUGGUUAAUUUAACAAGCGAAAUUCUAAAUCAAAUCACAUGACUGUCGAGUUAAUAAACACAAAUAAUUUGCGUGUAAAAUGUACCCCAAAAACUCUCCUCCGGAUUCACAGACUCUUCAUAAACUUCAGAUUUGAUAGUUAAACAUGUGUAUGUUAAUGAAUUCCAAUCAAUCGUAGAUAGGGUGCUCGUGCACGCUCAUUCACAAUUAGCAUAACCCCCGCCUAUGAAUUACAGCUACAAAUUGUGUAUCCAGGAAUGCAGUGGAAUAUUCUGGUUUACUUUCUCAGGUUUGGCUCCAGUAUGUUGCAUAAAUGCAAAAAAAGACCAAUAGGCCAUAUGCCUAACAAUAAAUAUUCAAUAAUGUGUGUCCACCAAAGCCUUUUAGCCAGCUGAAAAAUGUCAGGCGCUCUUCUUAAAACGGCCAGCUGGUGGCGCUUGAAAACACUUUGGUGUAGAGGUCUGUGCGGGACUGUUUUUUUGUUUUUUAAGUCCCUAGGUUAGCCUAGAGUUUAGGCUAUAUUCUGCACCAAUCCGCUCCCGCGAUAUAUUCACGCUUUGUUCACCCGCUGUCCGCUUAGAACAAUUUCCUUCCCGACCCGACCGUUCCCGCUAAAUUUAGAUCUGGUUUCCAGAAUCUCACAUUAAUUUCCUCUACUAAAAGAAAGAUAGAUAGGCUAACAAAUAAAUGUGUAGUCUGCACAAAAUUGUAUUUGUUAUUUUAUUAGUCUAGUCAAGAGUCUUGAAUUUAUUGACAGCACAAUGUUAAACGAAUUUGUUUGUUUGAUUACAAUAUUUAACCGUGAUUAAUCGCAUGAUUGUCAUGAGUUAACUCGUGAUUAAUCGCAACUUAAUCGCACAUUUUUAUUUGUUCUAAAUGCACCUUAAAUGAAUACUUUUCAAGAUUUUAAUACUCUAAUCAACAUACGGAUGCUUUAUGCAAAUGUAUGUUUAUUAUUAUUGAAACCAUAAUCAACAGAGCAUGAAGUCUACAUGUUUCAAAGGUCAUAGAUGUUUUUCAGAGAACUUGUUCAUGUCUAUUAGACACAUGAAAAAGGAAAUACCAGGUUCCCAUUACUUCUCUUUCUUUGCACGGAGCAAUUUACUGACACAAACCUGUUUACAUUUUUGCAGGACAGGGCAGCUCACUUCUUCUGAACAUGCAAAAUGUACAUUUGUUAUCAGAUUUGUUUGUGUCUCUGUGCCCACAUACUGUAUUUUGAUGCAGCUAAAUUCUCAAUAAAACUGUUUUCAUUUAUAUAUUUUACUGUUUCUGUUAUCAGACAAUGGAAUGAAUAUGAAAUAGUGACUGAACCGCGACCAAGACUACAUAACCAGCUCUCCCUUCCAAGAUGUUAAUCUGCACGAAAAUCCUGAUAAUCGAGCCGUCGUCUGAUGAAAUCAAAUACACAUAAGAUAAUGACAAUAGCUGUGCUGUGAUUUCGGCUAUAGCCUACUUGCAUGUAAAAUUAGAGAAGCAUCAUAAUAUCUGUAAUAUCUUAAGACAACACAAUAGCAAAAAGUGUCAGAGAAAAAAAAUGUACGUUGUACAAAAAUAGCCUGUAAGCUAUUUUAUUCGUCUUGUCAAAAUACAAAAUUUGUUUAACAUAUUGCUGUUAACACAGUAGGAAAAGUGUCACAGAGAAAAAUAAAUAAAUACGACAUCUGCCAUUUAAAAUUAUAGGCUAAGCAAAAUAUAAACCAAACAGAGUUGAACGUUCUUCAAGGACAGCUCAUCCACACUUUGCUCCAUCCUUAUUCUGCUCUGUCACUCAUCGACAACCUGCCUGUUCUGUCUGAGGGCCGUAUAUUUACCACCGGUAGGCUACAGCCUGCUCUGAGCAUCGUUAUGCACAUACUGAAACACAGACCCCAUAAAUUAAAUGAAGCAUUGGUUCAUGCCUGCAGCGCAUGCAUAACAGUCCUGAGUGCAGGCUGUACCGGUGGUCGAUGAGAAUAAAGCGCAGAUAUGCUGUUCUGAAAGGAAGUCAGGAACAGGAUAUUGUUAGACCGCCCGCUCCCGUUCAAAUGACACCAGAUUUACCGACCGCUACCGCGUUUUAUUUGGGGAUUUAAUCCCGCGUCGCAAGAAAUCUGGUCGGGUCCCACGGUUCACCUCAUAAACAGACUUAAAUUUAAGUCGUUAUUCACUGUAUUCUAUUAUUUGAAAGCUAGACAACUCUAGAGGUUACUCGCGGAGUAACAUUGUUUUGAACACUUGAGUUGUGCUUCGGCUGAUUGUGUCAUUCAGAAUUGCUAGGAAAAAAAGGCUGAAUUGUGAGAUAAAAAGUAGCAAUUUCCUUUUGUAUUCAGUGGCAGAAACGGGCUUCCAUAACAAACAGAUCAAAGUGGUAAUUGCUUUAGGGAUUGGUAUUGUUACCAACAUAAACAUUGUUGUAUAUUAAUUCUUAUUGCCUAUUGAUUGUAUAAAGUAUGUUGAUUCUUGUUUUAUUACAGAUACUUUAGCAUUCCCUUUUUGGUUCAAUAUUCAGUUGUUA
Onychostoma macrolepis is the source of this 5131-nucleotide long non-coding RNA. RefSeq lists it as uncharacterized. NCBI's taxonomy places the organism in Eukaryota, Metazoa, Chordata, Actinopteri, Cypriniformes, Cyprinidae. The transcript is spliced from 2 exons. The record is from RefSeq and is a predicted model, not a curated record.